GGGCCCGCACAAGCGGUGGAGCACGUGGUUUAAUUCGAUGCAAACCGAAGAACCUUACCUGGGUUUGACAUACAAGUGGUAGUGAAGCGAAAGUGGAACGACUGAUGUAGCAAUACAUUGGAGCUUGAACAGGUGCUGCAUGGUUGUCGUCAGCUCGUGUCGUGAGAUGUUGGGUUAAGUCCCGCAACGAGCGCAACCCCUAUAGCCAGUUGCUAACAGGAGAGCUGAGCACUCUGGCGAGACUGCCGCCGACAAGGCGGAGGAAGGUGGGGACGACGUCAAAUCAUCAUGGCCUAUAUGCCCAGGGCGACACACGUGCUACAAUGGCCGACACAGACGGCAGCUUACUCGCGAGAGUUGGCGAAUCCUCAAAAGUCGGUCCCAGUUCGGACUGCAGUCUGCAACUCGACUGCACGAAGCCGGAAUCGCUAGUAAUCGCAGAUCAGCCAAGCUGCGGUGAAUACGUUCCCGGGCCUU
This 477-nucleotide ribosomal RNA is filed under the name uncultured bacterium. RNAcentral describes it as "bacterial SSU rRNA". It matches the Rfam family "Bacterial small subunit ribosomal RNA", at positions 917 to 1382 of the family's 1533-position model. The record is from RNAcentral.